GUAGGGAAUCUUCCACAAUGGACGAAAGUCUGAUGGAGCAACGCCGCGUGAGUGAAGAAGGGUUUCGGCUCGUAAAACUCUGUUGUUAAAGAAGAACAUAUCUGAGAGUAACUGUUCAGGUAUUGACGGUAUUUAACCAGAAAGCCACGGCUAACUACGUGCCAGCAGCCGCGGUAAUACGUAGGUGGCAAGCGUUGUCCGGAUUUAUUGGGCGUAAAGCGAGCGCAGGCGGUUUUUUAAGUCUGAUGUGAAAGCCUUCGGCUCAACCGAAGAAGUGCAUCGGAAACUGGGAAAAUUGAGUGCAGAAGAGGACAGUGGAACUCCAUGUGUAGCGGUGAAAUGCGUAGAUAUAUGGAAGAACACCAGUGGCGAAGGCGGCUGUCUGGUCUGUAACUGACGCUGAGGCUCGAAAGUAUGGGUAGCAAACAGGAUUAGAAACCCGAGUAGUCC
This 450-nucleotide ribosomal RNA is filed under the name uncultured bacterium. RNAcentral's name for it is "partial 16S ribosomal RNA". It matches the Rfam family "Bacterial small subunit ribosomal RNA", at positions 354 to 796 of the family's 1533-position model. The record is from RNAcentral.